Molecule: long non-coding RNA, 843 nt
Organism: Juglans regia (Persian walnut)
Lineage: Eukaryota; Viridiplantae; Streptophyta; Magnoliopsida; Fagales; Juglandaceae
Exons: 2
Source: RefSeq, a predicted model, not a curated record
UUUGCAGAUGGGGUGACUCAGAUUCACCAUUUCUAAGACCUCUGAUCUCUCUCUCUUCUUGAUGUGAGAAGUCAUGAGAACUUGUACCUCCAAUCUAUCCAGCCAGUUGUGGCAGGAGAGGAAGGUGUGUGUUGAGCAAGAUGGAGAAGCAGGGCACGUGCAUUACUAACUCAUGAGCGCACGCACCACUGAACAUACACAUGAUAUUUCUUGGCUGGAGUUAUAUAUAUACAUGAUGUAUGAAUCUUACCUAGCUAUAGUAUUCACAGAUCAUGGUUUUCGAUCGCUAGCUAGUUCGUGUGAGUUAGUUCUUCAUGUGCCCGUCUUCACCAUCAUGACCACAGCACCUUAUAUAUGUUUGAUGGCGUCAAGAGCCAAGAAUACUAUUCCAGAUCGAAAAGCAUCCUCCCUCCAAGAAUUUCUGAGAAACUCAGAUAUUUACAGAAGCUUCAAGUUCCGGGCACGGAUUGAAUAAGGGGAAUAUCGAGUAUAUAUUAAUGGGCGGUUCUUCAACAAGGUCAUGGCCGUGGUGGAUAACCAUUGACUGGAUGUUAUUAAGAUAUGGUGUCAUUCAUCAAAGAACCCGAAUCUUUUAAGAAAUGAUGAAGGGUACUGUUAAUUGACCAUCUAGCAGUAAGUUCCAUUUUGAUAAUCUCUCUUUUCUUUCUCUCUCUCUCUCUCUCCUCUGUGUGUGUGUGUGUGUGUUUGUGGUUGAUAGAACGAAUUUUUAUGAGAUAAAUACGAAUUAAACGCACAAAGAAUGCUGUUUGCAUUCACUGAUCAGUGUUUGUGUUAUAUAUACGUUUCCAGCCAAUUAUAUAUGCAUUAUUAGGUUUUGGUUAA